Molecule: transfer RNA, 72 nt
Filed under: Jenufa perforata
Lineage: Eukaryota; Viridiplantae; Chlorophyta; Chlorophyceae
Description: tRNA-Arg
Rfam family: tRNA
About the family: Transfer RNA (tRNA) molecules are approximately 80 nucleotides in length. Their secondary structure includes four short double-helical elements and three loops (D, anti-codon, and T loops).
Source: RNAcentral
GAGCAUAUAGCUCAGUGGUAGAGCAAUGAUCUUCUAAGUCAUAGCGCGUGGGUUCAAAUCCUACUAUGCUUU